This 254-nucleotide ribosomal RNA is filed under the name uncultured bacterium. RNAcentral's name for it is "partial 16S ribosomal RNA". It matches the Rfam family "Bacterial small subunit ribosomal RNA", at positions 524 to 776 of the family's 1533-position model. The record is from RNAcentral.
UACGUAGGUGGCAAGCGUUGUCCGGAUUUAUUGGGCGUAAAGGGCGCGCAGGUGGUGCGCUAAGUCUGCCGUGAAAUCUCCCGGCUCAACUGGGAGGGUGCGGUGGAGACUGACGUGCUUGAGGUACCUAGAGGUCGGUGGAAUUCCCGGUGUAGUGGUGAAAUGCGUAGAGAUCGGGAGGAACACCAGUGGCGAAGGCGGCCGGGCUGGGGGUGACCUGACGCUGAGGCGCGAAAGCGUGGGGAGCGAACCGG